GUUCUGCUCCUCUGGAGGGAGG
RNAcentral lists this microRNA (22 nucleotides) under Mus musculus (house mouse). Its description in RNAcentral is "mmu-miR-1904". The record is from miRBase by way of RNAcentral. Lineage: Eukaryota; Metazoa; Chordata; Mammalia; Rodentia; Muridae.